This 500-nucleotide ribosomal RNA is filed under the name uncultured bacterium. RNAcentral's name for it is "partial 16S ribosomal RNA". It matches the Rfam family "Bacterial small subunit ribosomal RNA", at positions 899 to 1397 of the family's 1533-position model. The record is from RNAcentral.
ACUCAAAGGAAUUGACGGGGGCCCGCACAAGCGGUGGAGCAUGUGGUUUAAUUCGACGCAACGCGCAGAACCUUACCCAGACUUGACAUCGAUAGAAUCCUGUAGAAAUACGGGAGUGCCCUUCGGGGCCUAGAAGACAGGUGCUGCAUGGCUGUCGUCAGCUCGUGUCGUGAGAUGUUGGGUUAAGUCCCGCAACGAGCGCAACCCCCGCCAUUAGUUGCCAUCAGGUAAAGCUGGGCACUCUAGUGGGACUGCCGGUGUCAAACCGGAGGAAGGUGGGGAUGACGUCAAGUCCUCAUGGCCUUUAUGUCUGGGGCUACACACGUGCUACAAUGGCUACUACAGAACGCUGCGAACUCGCGAGAGAGAGCAAAUCGUCAAAAAGUAGUCUCAGUUCGGAUUGGAGUCUGCAACUCGACUCCAUGAAGUCGGAAUCGCUAGUAAUCGUGGAUCAGCAUGCCACGGUGAAUACGUUCCCGGGCCUUGUACACACCGCCCGU